Molecule: ribosomal RNA, 1451 nt
Filed under: Streptococcus thermophilus
Lineage: Bacteria; Bacillati; Bacillota; Bacilli; Lactobacillales; Streptococcaceae
Description: bacterial SSU rRNA
Rfam family: Bacterial small subunit ribosomal RNA
Source: RNAcentral
GGCAGUGGGGGCGGCUAUACAUGCAGUAGAACGCUGAAGAGAGGAGCUUGCUCUUCUUGGAUGAGUUGCGAACGGGUGAGUAACGCGUAGGUAACCUGCCUUGUAGCGGGGGAUAACUAUUGGAAACGAUAGCUAAUACCGCAUAACAAUGGAUGACACAUGUCAUUUAUUUGAAAGGGGCAAUUGCUCCACUACAAGAUGGACCUGCGUUGUAUUAGCUAGUAGGUGAGGUAAUGGCUCACCUAGGCGACGAUACAUAGCCGACCUGAGAGGGUGAUCGGCCACACUGGGACUGAGACACGGCCCAGACUCCUACGGGAGGCAGCAGUAGGGAAUCUUCGGCAAUGGGGGCAACCCUGACCGAGCAACGCCGCGUGAGUGAAGAAGGUUUUCGGAUCGUAAAGCUCUGUUGUAAGUCAAGAACGGGUGUGAGAGUGGAAAGUUCACACUGUGACGGUAGCUUACCAGAAAGGGACGGCUAACUACGUGCCAGCAGCCGCGGUAAUACGUAGGUCCCGAGCGUUGUCCGGAUUUAUUGGGCGUAAAGCGAGCGCAGGCGGUUUGAUAAGUCUGAAGUUAAAGGCUGUGGCUCAACCAUAGUUCGCUUUGGAAACUGUCAAACUUGAGUGCAGAAGGGGAGAGUGGAAUUCCAUGUGUAGCGGUGAAAUGCGUAGAUAUAUGGAGGAACACCGGUGGCGAAAGCGGCUCUCUGGUCUGUAACUGACGCUGAGGCUCGAAAGCGUGGGGAGCGAACAGGAUUAGAUACCCUGGUAGUCCACGCCGUAAACGAUGAGUGCUAGGUGUUGGAUCCUUUCCGGGAUUCAGUGCCGCAGCUAACGCAUUAAGCACUCCGCCUGGGGAGUACGACCGCAAGGUUGAAACUCAAAGGAAUUGACGGGGGCCCGCACAAGCGGUGGAGCAUGUGGUUUAAUUCGAAGCAACGCGAAGAACCUUACCAGGUCUUGACAUCCCGAUGCUAUUUCUAGAGAUAGAAAGUUACUUCGGUACAUCGGUGACAGGUGGUGCAUGGUUGUCGUCAGCUCGUGUCGUGAGAUGUUGGGUUAAGUCCCGCAACGAGCGCAACCCCUAUUGUUAGUUGCCAUCAUUCAGUUGGGCACUCUAGCGAGACUGCCGGUAAUAAACCGGAGGAAGGUGGGGAUGACGUCAAAUCAUCAUGCCCCUUAUGACCUGGGCUACACACGUGCUACAAUGGUUGGUACAACGAGUUGCGAGUCGGUGACGGCGAGCUAAUCUCUUAAAGCCAAUCUCAGUUCGGAUUGUAGGCUGCAACUCGCCUACAUGAAGUCGGAAUCGCUAGUAAUCGCGGAUCAGCACGCCGCGGUGAAUACGUUCCCGGGCCUUGUACACACCGCCCGUCACACCACGAGAGUUUGUAACACCCGAAGUCGGUGAGGUAACCUUUUGGAGCCAGCCGCCUAAGUGAAAAAGAU